GGAAAUAAAAGUCGUAACAAGGUCUCCGUUGGUGAACCAGCGGAGGGAUCAUUACGGAGUUGCAAAACUCCCAAACCAUUGUGAACGUUACCUAUCCCGUUGCUUCGGCGGGCGGCCCGGGCCCCGCGCCCGGCGCCCCCCGGCCCCCCGUGGGCGCCCGCCGGAGGUAAACCAAACCCUUGAAUUGCAUGGCCUCUCUGAGUCUUCUGUACUGAAUAAGUCAGAACUUUCAACAACGGAUCUCUUGGUUCUG
This 253-nucleotide unclassified non-coding RNA is filed under the name plant metagenome. Its description in RNAcentral is "partial contains small subunit ribosomal RNA, internal transcribed spacer 1, and 5.8S ribosomal RNA". The stretch from base 1 to 54 matches the Rfam family "Eukaryotic small subunit ribosomal RNA", at positions 1778 to 1831 of the family's 1831-position model. The record is from RNAcentral.